GAAGAGCACAGCAGGGAAUUUCCCUCUCGCUUCUUGUCUGAGCAAUUCAUCAAAACCACCUCAAAAUUUUCCAUCAAUGGAGCUGAUUCGUUGAAAAGCCCGGCUACAAACCGGAGGCCUGGUCAGAUCCAUUCUCGGGGAUAGCAUGGAAAGGAGCUCGUUUUCCCCUGUUUUGGUGAAUCGGCGGAGUGGGGCUCGUCAGCCGCAGUUUGCAUGCGUUCUGGGCCUACUCAUGCCUUUCUCUAUGUAUUCCUAGUGUUGUUUUCUGGUUAUGGUAAGUUCUGGUUUGAAUUUGCGCCUCAAAUGUUUUCUGGUUAUUGUACCUUAGGUGUUCGAUGAAAUGUCUGGGUGAGGUUUGCGCCCCUAUCUUGGUUUUCCGUCCAAUCUGGGCAUUCAUCAAUUGCUGGACGUGCUUCGUGGAUUUUUAAUUUGAUUAGACCAAGCAAUCUUGAUUGAAGAGCACUCUUCUCACAGAUUUGAACCAUGUUGUUACUCGCCAUCUCUCUCCAACCCAUCACAGAUCUGGAUCAUGUUGUUCAUCGAUUCUUGGCGUCAUUUGCCGAGGUUGUGGCACAGCUCGUGGGCAUGGGUGGUGAUGGGUGAGCGUCGGUGAAGUUGUAGCCGAGGAAUCCAUGUACAGUGUGAAGUGGCGAGGGCGUAGAAAGGAG
This 668-nucleotide long non-coding RNA is filed under the name Eucalyptus grandis. Its description in RNAcentral is "long non-coding RNA (EGRA_LNC004211)". Lineage: Eukaryota; Viridiplantae; Streptophyta; Magnoliopsida; Myrtales; Myrtaceae. The record is from RNAcentral.